UCUGGAGCACCUGCUAUUGGGCCUUUCUCUGCAGUGCCUGUGCAGGAAGAAGCGAGUUCAUUAUACUGAGAUGUGGCUGUGUUCUAUUGUACAGACUGAAGGUGACGGACUCUGUGGGUGAUCGUCCGAUGCUGCCAGCACUUACAGAGUGUGUGAGCAAGCCACACUUCCCUGGUUGUGUUACACCGUACUUAGGUCAGUUCACUUAGUUAAGAGAUUCCUGGAAGAGGUGCUGUGCUGGCAGGCGUGUCAACUGAAGGCCUGUUUAAGUGUCACUCAUUGCAUCACCGGGUAAAGUACAAGCGUAGUUUACAUAGGCUUGUCAAAGCCAAAUAAUGCACAGCGUUUUUAGCUUACCUCAUUCACCAAAUUGUGAGCGUACGCUGCUCUUGAAAAUGAAAUUUAAAUAUUUUUCCCAUUUAAAUUAUACUCUCUCUGAGGAUCAUUAGAGAGGAGGCUUCAUUUAUAGUGUGGAACGCUAACGGCUAUAUCCAGUUCUGCAGCUGUCUUUUUACGUGCUUUCCCGACGACAAGGUCACCCUCCUAGUUGCACUGAAAUGGGUGCCCAAACAACCUACCUUAUCAGCAGUGUUGCUGUAUUUAUUAAAAUGUUUUAUUGAAGAACUUUCUACACUUAAGAACCAGGUGUCAACCCUUUGAAAGGCCAUUCAAGUCCACGUGAAGAACAGUGGGUGACUUUAAUACUGAGUCCUUGUGGAAGUUCCUAUGAAGUUGGGGUUUAUUUUGUAGACAUGCACACCCCACCUUCUGACUCCCUCACAUGGGCACAUUCAGAACUCACACACUGAAGAAAAACCCUACCUUCACCUCCCUAAAGGAGGCUGAGCUGAGCCAAUGACACUGUUUGCAUCUGCCAGAGAGACAUAAAAAGUGGAGUGAGUGCUUGCCCUAUGGCCAUGCACUAACGUUUAUAGACUCUUGGGGAAUUUCUAACACAGCUGACCGUAACUAGAAUUUACUUAGUAAUAAUAGGUUUAACACAGCUUUCAAGGGCUCCUUUUUUUCCUUUGAACUAGACAUUUGAAAUAAUUAUAAAUAGAAAUAUAUCUCAAAAUAAACAACUAUGCUUCGAAGAAAUAAAUCCUUUCUUACCUUGAUGUAAACCAGGCUUGACCUAUGACUUUUGUGUGAACACAUUUUCUGAAGAUUGGUUAGAGCUGCCUUAACUCUUGGUUGCACACUGACUCUGCAUGGACCAUUGAUUAAAUUUCAGGAGCUGGAAGCGGUAAUAUCUGAGCAGCCGAGUUUUAUUUUUAUAGUCUAUUUUGUCAAUCCCAGGCUUUACUCUAGCUCAAGCCGACUUGGAACUCCUGUGUACCCAGCCAGGCUGCACUCACACUUGGCACAGUCCUCCGGUGUCAGCCCCUCCGUGCUGGGAUGACAAGCAGGCGAAGCCGUGCGAACAUCACUGCACAUUCCUGGUGGCAUUUCCCUUCGUGGCUGUGCCAUGGCUGACAGGUCACUCCAAACCAAAGCCCUUGUAACACAUGACAUCUAUGCAACUGGCAAGAGUUUUAGUAGCCAAGUGGCCUUUUUUUUUAAUCCUCAUCGAUUUUAUUUUUUAUAAUUACUUAAUUUAUCAUUUUCCCUAAUAAAAGAUAUAUAUGUGUA
This 1632-nucleotide long non-coding RNA is filed under the name Rattus norvegicus (Norway rat). RNAcentral describes it as "long non-coding RNA NONRATT014106". Lineage: Eukaryota; Metazoa; Chordata; Mammalia; Rodentia; Muridae. The record is from RNAcentral.